RNAcentral lists this transfer RNA (69 nucleotides) under Rattus norvegicus (Norway rat). It matches the Rfam family "tRNA". From Rfam's summary of the family: Transfer RNA (tRNA) molecules are approximately 80 nucleotides in length. Their secondary structure includes four short double-helical elements and three loops (D, anti-codon, and T loops). Further hydrogen bonds mediate the characteristic L-shaped molecular structure. tRNAs have two regions of fundamental functional importance: the anti-codon, which is responsible for specific mRNA codon recognition, and the 3' end, to which the tRNAs corresponding amino acid is attached (by aminoacyl-tRNA synthetases). tRNAs cope with the degeneracy of the genetic code in two manners: having more than one tRNA (with a specific anti-codon) for a particular amino acid; and 'wobble' base-pairing, i.e. permitting non-standard base-pairing at the 3rd anti-codon position. The record is from Rfam by way of RNAcentral. Lineage: Eukaryota; Metazoa; Chordata; Mammalia; Rodentia; Muridae.
GGGGAUUUAGCUCAGUGGUAGAGCGCCUGCCUAGGAAGCGCAAGGCCCUGGGUUCGGUUCCCAGCUCCG